Molecule: non-coding RNA, 359 nt
Organism: Podarcis lilfordi (Lilford's wall lizard)
Lineage: Eukaryota; Metazoa; Chordata; Lepidosauria; Squamata; Lacertidae
Source: the annotation of a GenBank genome assembly
UACAGUGGUGCCUCGCAAGACGAAAAGAAUCCGUUCUGUGAGUCUCUUCGUCUAGCGGUUUUUUCGUCUUGCGAAGCAAGCCCAUUGACGGAUUAGCGGAUUAGCGCUAUUAGUGCUAUUAGCGGCUUUUAGCGGCUUUUAGCGGCUUAUCAUCUUAUCGGAUAAGCAGAUAAGCGGCUUAACGGCUUAGAAAAAGGGGGGGAAAGGGGGAAAAAAACGCAGGAACUCGCAAGACAUUUUCGUCUUGCGAAGCAAGCCCAUAGGAGCUUCGUUUUGCGAAGCACCUCCAAAACGGAAAACUCUUUCGUCUAGCGAGUUUUCCGUCUUGCGAGGCAUUCGUCUUGCGGGGCACCACUGUA